GUGGCUUCCGAAUCGCUCUUCCUCAGUCGGUGAAGUUCAUCAUCCAGCUUCUUUGAUUUUUUCAUUAGAUGAUGAACUUUUCUUCUCAGAUCUCGGAUCAUCGACUUCAAAGGGAUCCCCUGCGGUAGGAGAAGAGCUUCGGCAGGACACUGUUGUUGGGAGACAAGAGAGUCACAAUACAAAUCAGUGCAAGAAAAUAAAAGAGAAGAAAAAGGAUGCAGAGUA
RNAcentral lists this long non-coding RNA (225 nucleotides) under Elaeis guineensis (African oil palm). RNAcentral describes it as "long non-coding RNA (EGUI_LNC015260)". Lineage: Eukaryota; Viridiplantae; Streptophyta; Magnoliopsida; Arecales; Arecaceae. The record is from RNAcentral.